GACGAACGCUGGCGGCGUGCUUAACACAUGCAAGUCGAACGGAAAGGCCCUGCUUUUGUGGGGUGCUCGAGUGGCGAACGGGUGAGUAACACGUGAGUAACCUGCCCUUGACUUUGGGAUAACUUCAGGAAACUGGGGCUGAUACCGGAUAGGAGCUCCUGCUGCAUGGUGGGGGUUGGAAAGUUUCGGCGGUUGGGGAUGGACUCGCGGCUUAUCAGCUUGUUGGUGGGGUAGUGGCUUACCAAGGCUUUGACGGGUAGCCGGCCUGAGAGGGUGACCGGCCACAUUGGGACUGAGACACGGCCCAGACUCCUACGGGAGGCAGCAGUGGGGAAUAUUGCACAAUGGGCGGAAGCCUGAUGCAGCAACGCCGCGUGCGGGAUGACGGCCUUCGGGUUGUAAACCGCUUUCGCCUGUGACGAAGCGUGAGUGACGGUAAUGGGUAAAGAAGCACCGGCUAACUACGUG
RNAcentral lists this ribosomal RNA (468 nucleotides) under uncultured bacterium. Its description in RNAcentral is "partial 16S ribosomal RNA". It matches the Rfam family "Bacterial small subunit ribosomal RNA", at positions 28 to 507 of the family's 1533-position model. The record is from RNAcentral.